AUAUUGGUGGUUUAGUGGUAGAAUUCUUACCUUCCAUGGAGGAGACCCGGAUUUGAUUCCCAGCCAAUGCA
This 71-nucleotide transfer RNA is filed under the name Loxodonta africana (African savanna elephant). It matches the Rfam family "tRNA". From Rfam's summary of the family: Transfer RNA (tRNA) molecules are approximately 80 nucleotides in length. Lineage: Eukaryota; Metazoa; Chordata; Mammalia; Proboscidea; Elephantidae. The record is from Rfam by way of RNAcentral.